This 72-nucleotide transfer RNA is filed under the name Camelus bactrianus (Bactrian camel). It matches the Rfam family "tRNA". From Rfam's summary of the family: Transfer RNA (tRNA) molecules are approximately 80 nucleotides in length. Lineage: Eukaryota; Metazoa; Chordata; Mammalia; Artiodactyla; Camelidae. RNAcentral also lists the same sequence under 3 other names. The record is from Rfam by way of RNAcentral.
CGGUGUAUAGCUCAGUGGUAGAGCACAUGCCUAGCAUGCGUGAGGUCCUGGGUUCAAUCACCAAUACCUCCA